Medicago truncatula (barrel medic) is the source of this 1100-nucleotide RNA transcript. It is a transcript of the gene named protein MAINTENANCE OF MERISTEMS-like, with no coding region annotated. NCBI's taxonomy places the organism in Eukaryota, Viridiplantae, Streptophyta, Magnoliopsida, Fabales, Fabaceae. The record is from RefSeq and is a predicted model, not a curated record. The transcript has 5 exons.
AUUCACUUCAUGUAAACUAUUACAAAGAAGAACCUUGUGCACACUAUCUUAGUCUUCAAGCUGAGGGUUUGACUCUAACAGGCUCUAUCUCUACUUUCAAACAAAAAAGAACAACUACAAAAAAAUGGCCGACAUGUCUAGGAUACGUUCAAUCAACCGUGAACUCAAAGUUAUGAUUUUAGAUAAAAAUAAGUGCGAACAGUGGAGUUAAGAACAAAGAGCAGAAGUACUAUGAACCGAUGAAGCAAUUGUAUAAUUUAUUCAGCUGGUAUGCAGACAAGUGACAGGGUGUGACAGGCAUGGUUUUUGGCGCACUUUCCUAAGUUUUAUGUUGUUGAUCCAAACACCAAAUAUGUUGAAAACUUACCGGUUGUGGCGAGGUGGAAGCUUCAGAAGGGUCAUGGAGAGGGUGUCAUGUAUCGGUCACUGCUUGAUCGCAUUACGUUUGAUGACGUAUGCUGGAGGCCGUACAAAGAGCACAGAGACUUCCAGGCUUUCGAGGAGGUAUUCUGGUAUUCAGGCUGAAUUAUGUGCGGUGAUCGUAGGGUGUACCGUCACUUGCCCGAGAGGGUUUUGAGGCAGUACGGAUACGUCCUGACCGUCCCUAGACAUCCGUCGGAUGUUGUAGAGUUGUCACCGGCUGAGAUUGUGCAGGCUUUCGUCGACUUCCGUACUCACACGCUUAAGGCGGCUGAUUGGGUGAGCAUGUAGGAGGGUAGACAUGGCGUAUGACAGAUGGCUAUGUACGAUGGUACACCGUUGUGUCUCACCCUCAAAUUUUGCCACUUCUUCCAGGAGAUAUUCCGAGGCCUCCAAAUGAGGAGCAGAUCAUUGCAGAGCAGUGGGAGCGGUACGAGGCGAGAAGCUCCCCUGAUACCUAUGACAUGGUUAGUGGCGUUGUUGCCCAUGCUGAUGAGUUUUUGGGUCAGGAGGUGAUGAGCAUGACCCCUCGGCAGUUGUAUGUGGCCUUGCAUGAUGUUAGGCAGCAGAUCGCGCCGAUCAUUACCAUGAGGCGAGGCUAGAGGCUGAGGAGGAGGCACCAGCAGCACCAGCAGGACCAGGACCAGCAGUAGGAUUAGGACUUGUUUUUUACUUUUUGG